Molecule: long non-coding RNA, 594 nt
Organism: Poecilia latipinna (sailfin molly)
Lineage: Eukaryota; Metazoa; Chordata; Actinopteri; Cyprinodontiformes; Poeciliidae
Exons: 2
Source: RefSeq, a predicted model, not a curated record
AUUGUUUUUCAUAUUUUUGUCUACACUUUGCAAUUAUUUGCUCACACCAUAAAGGUUUAGGCUGUCUAAAAAUAUAAAAAGAUAUAUCAGAAGUAAUUUCCAAAAAUAUUCACAUGUUGUGUAGAAUUUCUGCACCCAGUCUAGUGUUUAGUUCCGUGUGUAGUUUAAGAUGGAGCAGCUUAGCCCAAACUGUUUCAUUUUACAAAUUUAAACUGCCACAUGUACCAUUUAGCUUUGACCCUAAGAUUAUGUGAUGGAGAUAAUCAAAAGAAAAAUAUAGCAGUUCUAUCGCUUCUUGGUGCCAGAUAAAAGGUCUGUGUCGCUGUUGGUCCUUCGCUUACGGCCAUACCACCCUGAACACGCCCGAUCUCGUCUGAUCUCGGAAGCUAAGCAGGGUCGGGCCUGGUCAGUACUUGGAUGGGAGACCGCCUGGGAAUACCAGAUAAAGAGUCUGUGUGGCUGUUGGUCCUUCGCUUACGGCCAUACCACCCUGAACACGCCCGAUCUCGUCUGAUCUCGGAAGCUAAGCAGGGUCGGGCCUGGUCAGUACUUGGAUGGGAGACCGCCUGGGAAUACCAGGUGCUGUAAGCUUUU